RNAcentral lists this ribosomal RNA (359 nucleotides) under uncultured bacterium. Its description in RNAcentral is "bacterial SSU rRNA". It matches the Rfam family "Bacterial small subunit ribosomal RNA", at positions 29 to 417 of the family's 1533-position model. The record is from RNAcentral.
AGCGAACGCUGGCGGCAGGCCUAACACAUGCAAGUCGAGCGCCCAGCAAUGGGAGCGGCAGACGGGAUAGUAACACGUGGGAACGUACCUUUCAGUUCGGAACAACCCAGGGAAACUUGGGCUAAUACCGAAUACGUCCGUAAGGAGAAAGAUUUAUCGCUGAAAGAUCGGCCCGCGUCUGAUUAGCUAGUUGGUGAGGUAAUGGCUCACCAAGGCGACGAUCAGUAGCNGGUCUGAGAGGAUGAUCAGCAUCACUGGGACUGAGACACGGCCCAGACUCCUACGGGAGGCAGCAGUGGGGAAUUUUGGACAAUGGGCGCAAGCCUGAUCCAGCCAUGCCGCGUGAGUGAAGAAGGCCU